UACGUAGGGGGCAAGCGUUGUCCGGAAUCAUUGGGCGUAAAGAGCGUGUAGGCGGCUCGAUAAGUCUGCUGUGAAAGUCCAGGGCUCAACCCUGGAAGGCCGGUGGAAACUGUCGGGCUAGAGUCCGGAAGAGGCGAGUGGAAUUCCUGGUGUAGCGGUGAAAUGCGCAGAUAUCAGGAGGAACACCGAUGGCGAAGGCAGGUCUCUGGGCCAUAACUGACGCUGAGAAGCGAAAGCAUGGGGAGCGAACAGG
RNAcentral lists this ribosomal RNA (253 nucleotides) under uncultured bacterium. RNAcentral describes it as "partial 16S ribosomal RNA". It matches the Rfam family "Bacterial small subunit ribosomal RNA", at positions 524 to 776 of the family's 1533-position model. The record is from RNAcentral.